GAUGAACGCUGGCGGCGUGCCUAAUACAUGCAAGUCGAGCGAACGGACGAGAAGCUUGCUUCUCUGAUGUUAGCGGCGGACGGGUGAGUAACACGUGGAUAACCUACCUAUAAGACUGGGAUAACUUCGGGAAACCGGAGCUAAUACCGGAUAAUAUUUUGAACCGCAUGGUUCAAAAGUGAAGGACGGUCUUGCUGUCACUUAUAGAUGGAUCCGCGCUGCAUUAGCUAGUUGGUAAGGUAACGGCUUACCAAGGCAACGAUGCAUAGCCGACCUGAGAGGGUGAUAGGCCACACUGGAACUGAGACACGGUCCAGACUCCUACGGGAGGCAGCAGUAGGGAAUCUUCCGCAAUGGGCGAAAGCCUGACGGAGCAACGCCGCGUGAGUGAUGAAGGUCUUCGGAUCGUAAAACUCUGUUAUUAGGGAAGAACAUAUGUGUAAGUAACUGUGCACAUCUUGACGGUACCUAAUCAGAAAGCCACGGCUAACUACGUG
Molecule: ribosomal RNA, 497 nt
Filed under: uncultured bacterium
Lineage: Bacteria
Description: partial 16S ribosomal RNA
Rfam family: Bacterial small subunit ribosomal RNA
Source: RNAcentral